RNAcentral lists this ribosomal RNA (139 nucleotides) under Caamembeca formosa. RNAcentral describes it as "partial 5.8S ribosomal RNA". It matches the Rfam family "5.8S ribosomal RNA", at positions 1 to 129 of the family's 154-position model. Rfam says of the family: 5.8S ribosomal RNA (5.8S rRNA) is a component of the large subunit of the eukaryotic ribosome. It is transcribed by RNA polymerase I as part of the 45S precursor that also contains 18S and 28S rRNA. The record is from RNAcentral. Lineage: Eukaryota; Viridiplantae; Streptophyta; Magnoliopsida; Fabales; Polygalaceae.
UACGAAACGACUCUCGGCAACGGAUAUCUCGGCUCUCGAAUCGAUGAAGAACGUAGCGAAAUGCGAUACUUGGUGUGAAUUGCAGAAUCCCGUGAACCAUCGAGUCUUUGAACGCAAGUUGCGCCCGAAGCCUUCUGGC